RNAcentral lists this ribosomal RNA (261 nucleotides) under uncultured bacterium. RNAcentral's name for it is "partial small subunit ribosomal RNA". It matches the Rfam family "Bacterial small subunit ribosomal RNA", at positions 26 to 280 of the family's 1533-position model. The record is from RNAcentral.
AGAACGAACGCUGGCGGCGUGGAUAAGACAUGCAAGUCGAACGAGACUUUCAGCUGUAGCAAUACAGUUGAAAGUUUAGUGGCGAACGGGUGCGUAACACGUGGGCAACCUGCCCUCAGCUCUGGGAUAACUCCGGGAAACCGGGGCUAAUACCGGAUACGACCUCCACGGGCAUCUGCGGAGGUGGAAAGUUUUUCGGCUGAGGAUGGGCCCGCGGCCUAUCAGCUAGUUGGUGGGGUGAUAGCCCACCAAGGCGACGAC